AACACAGAGGAACUAGAGAAGCAGGCGGCCCAUAGCAGCACGGUAAGCGCAGAGACCCAGCGCAGGCGCGCUGUGUUCUCACCGUUUAUCGUUAGCCCCCUGCCUCCGGGUGGUUAACCCCCACUCUCCAGUCCUUUAUUCCUUACACCUGAGGUAUUAGUGGCCGACUCACAAAGGCGAUGUUGUAAACACGAAGUGAGGUAGCCCAGGGAACGAAUCGCAAACCUGGUGUACUGAGCGCUUUCACUUCUGGGAUGGUCUUUCAGAGGAAGCACGUCACUGUGGCUCGAGGGAGGGUGGUUAAGGAAUGGAGCUAUGGGUGUGGUUGGUAGCCUGGAAAGUCCCGGAGGAUGGACACGGGGAUGCACAGCUGUGACCCAAACCCUUGGGAGACUGAAGAAGCCAGUCUGUCCCACACCGGGAGACUCUGUCCAAAACAAAACAGAAACAACAGUAACAAAACUGGAGAAUGCCAGCCGGGAAGACUGUUGAUUAGCGGUGUUUCUUGUGUGAGUGAGCUUUGUCACAUAUAAAAUAGGGUGAUAGCCAGGGCUAUACAGAAAAACC
This 567-nucleotide long non-coding RNA is filed under the name Mus musculus (house mouse). RNAcentral's name for it is "long non-coding RNA chr15:98985577-98986144". Lineage: Eukaryota; Metazoa; Chordata; Mammalia; Rodentia; Muridae. The record is from RNAcentral.